AGAGUCAACAUGUGACGCCAUGGGAGUAGGACACCGGGAACUAUUCUCCGAGAUGGCAGUGGCUGGGAAGACGGCUCCAUGGGUUAAAGUGCUGCAGUUUCUGCAUCAGGGGACCACGUCCUGGUCAAAGAUGUUCAUUCCUGGAUGCCCCUGCUUUGGCCUCAGGAGCACUGAGAUUACAGCAGUACAUGCACACAGUGUGGUCAGCGUAGCUCCAGGACAUUCAGCUCGGGACACUUCUCACAGGAGACAGGCUGUUCCUCCACCCUGAGGCCCGCGUGGCCUCUACAACCGCUUAGAGGAUGGUGAGCACACCCAGUGAUCUCUGCAGCGGCGUCCCCGCCCGGCUCCCCCCAGCUCUGCGUGAGGCCUCGGCUGACACUACCACAAAGGACAAGCUGAGUUGGGAGGACAGCAGAGCGCCCUCUACAGACAUCCAUUCCACUUGUAGAAACCCUGUUCUUUGUCGGCUCUGAAGCCAACGACAGAUUCUGGGUAUAAAAAGAAUGAUCCAUUAAAAAAUAUUAAUAAUAAAAACCAUUUAGGCCA
Long non-coding RNA from Mesocricetus auratus (golden hamster), 549 nucleotides. RefSeq lists it as uncharacterized. The transcript has 4 exons. NCBI's taxonomy places the organism in Eukaryota, Metazoa, Chordata, Mammalia, Rodentia, Cricetidae. The record is from RefSeq and is a predicted model, not a curated record.